Molecule: long non-coding RNA, 476 nt
Organism: Populus nigra (black poplar)
Lineage: Eukaryota; Viridiplantae; Streptophyta; Magnoliopsida; Malpighiales; Salicaceae
Exons: 4
Source: RefSeq, a predicted model, not a curated record
GGACUGGCAAGAGUAAGAGAGAGUUUAGAGAGAGGCUAGAGAGAAGAGAUAUUGAUGGUAAAUCAACCGACAGCUAUAACUCCACCUUCCACCGUUGGAUCAGCAUGAUAUUCGGAUUCUGAACGGUGGAGAUCUGAAACAAACAUUUGGUAUAGAAGUUGUGUAUCUCGUACAGUAGGUCUGCAAGUUUGAGGAGGGACCACCGGUCUGGUGCAACAGCAGUACCAGGGGAGCACGAGUAGAGCUUCUAUUGCAGUAAGGAUGUCAUACCAACAAGGUGCCUAGAAAACCCGAUACAUGGGAGCCUACUUUUGCAAGGAAUCAUGUAGUUGCAUUCUGAAUCAUGAUAUAUUUUAUAUGAAUCAAUGUACUGAAUGUAUAACUAUUAUUAGAUCCUUUUAGAUUAAAUUCGUGAUGACUAUUUGUAGGAUAUAAUACAAACUCAUGACUAUACAUAUAUAUUUUAAAUGCGAACU